UGGGGAAUAUUGCACAAUGGGCGCAAGCCUGAUGCAGCCAUGCCGCGUGUGUGAAGAAGGCCUUCGGGUUGUAAAGCACUUUCAGCGAGGAGGAAGGUGGUGAGCUUAAUACGCUCAUCAAUUGACGUUACUCGCAGAAGAAGCACCGGCUAACUCCGUGCCAGCAGCCGCGGUAAUACGGAGGGUGCAAGCGUUAAUCGGAAUUACUGGGCGUAAAGCGCACGCAGGCGGUUUGUUAAGUCAGAUGUGAAAUCCCCGGGCUCAACCUGGGAACUGCAUUUGAAACUGGCAAGCUAGAGUCUCGUAGAGGGGGGUAGAAUUCCAGGUGUAGCGGUGAAAUGCGUAGAGAUCUGGAGGAAUACCGGUGGCGAAGGCGGCCCCCCUGGACGAAGACUGACGCUCAGGUGCGAAAGCGUGGGGCAGCAAACAGGAUUAGAUACCCUGGUAGUCCACGCUGUAAACGAUGUCGAUUUGGAGGUUGUGCCCUUGAGGCGUGGCUUCCGGAGCUAACGCGUUAAAUCGACCGCCUGGGGAGUACGGCCGCAAGGUUAAAACUCAAAUGAAUUGACGGGGUC
This 575-nucleotide ribosomal RNA is filed under the name uncultured bacterium. RNAcentral's name for it is "partial 16S ribosomal RNA". It matches the Rfam family "Bacterial small subunit ribosomal RNA", at positions 355 to 920 of the family's 1533-position model. The record is from RNAcentral.